CAUAUAAAGGUUAUUAUGGUGUGACGUCAUAUAUCGAAUGACGUAAUUGUUUGGCAUGAAACGUCACACAAAACGCAACCUUGGAAAUUUUCUGGCAGCAAGAGCGUUACCUGUGUUUGUUACUAUACAAUAAGGUACGUGCUUCAAAUGGUUCAACUGUGACUUCGGUAUAAUAAAUCAAUUGUGGCCUUUUAGAAGCAAUAAUAUCCAAAAUUGCCAACCCUAACAAAUUAAUUCACUUCAGGCUGCGCCAUCAGAGGAAGUAAACAUCCCGAGUUUACAAUUUUGGAUAUUCAAUUUUUCUACGGACCAUUAUUGUAUUAAGUUCCAAGGAUAGCCACCAUUCUGAUAUACAUUCCAUAAUAUAAAUUUAUAUUAUUAAUGGCGAUAAAAGUAACUUUAUGAAGACAUACACGUUAAUAGCUUACGAAGACAUUUUCAGCACUUUGUUAUAUUGUUAACGAAUAUUCAUGAAUGCCAGCAUAUAAAUAAUAAAUAAUUUUCAAAGACUAAUAUCAAAAUUUGUUAUUUUCCAGGAAUUAUGUCCGUUAUUUUAUAUUCUUCGGAUCAUCAUGAUUGUUGUCUUCAGUGAAUACAUGAAACCCUUCCAUUGAUACCAGACAACACCAAAAGCAUACUUGUCGAUUUUGUGGCUUCCUUUUAGAUAGAGGCCAUUUAAGUUGCUUUCGUGACAUGCACCAUACCACCAUCCACCCUUAUGAUCUACAACGCAGUUUCCUUUAUUAUCUUUAUCGAACGUCGAAAAUGUGCUUCCAUUUUGGUGCUUCUUCAUAGCAUCACCUACA
RNAcentral lists this long non-coding RNA (806 nucleotides) under Mytilus galloprovincialis (Mediterranean mussel). Lineage: Eukaryota; Metazoa; Mollusca; Bivalvia; Mytilida; Mytilidae. The record is from RNAcentral.